Molecule: unclassified non-coding RNA, 319 nt
Filed under: Hevea brasiliensis (rubber tree)
Lineage: Eukaryota; Viridiplantae; Streptophyta; Magnoliopsida; Malpighiales; Euphorbiaceae
Source: RNAcentral
GGCGACGCCGGUCAGGCCGCGAAGGCGAUCGCAAAGGCCCACCCCGGCUGGUGGGUUCACGCCGGCGUGCUGAGCUGAGCUCGUCAUCCUGAGGUGUGAGCCGCGCUUGCNNNNCUCGAAGGAUGACGGGAGAUCAGAUCAAUUGCCGUCGUCCUUCGAGGCUCGCAAGAGCUCGCACCUCAGGAUGACGGCGAAAAUACAGUUCGCAUCUUGGAGUGUUCGCUCAGUGCGAGCGCGCCAGGCAGAACGCGACAACCUGUUCGAGCGCGAUCUUCAUCGGUGAUGGCGGAAACAGCGCCAGCGCAUCGACCGCCAUCGC